UGGGAAUUUGGACAAUGGGGCAACCUGAUCCAGCAAUGCCGCGUGUGUGAAGAAGGCCUUCGGGUUGUAAAGCACUUUUGUCCGGAAAGAAAACGCCGUGGUUAAUACCCGUGGCGGAUGACGGUACCGGAAGAAUAAGCACCGGCUAACUACGUGCCAGCAGCCGCGGUAAUACGUAGGGUGCAAGCGUUAAUCGGAAUUACUGGGCGUAAAGCGUGCGCAGGCGGUCCGCUAAGACAGAUGUGAAAUCCCCGGGCUUAACCUGGGAACUGCAUUUGUGACUGGCGGGCUAGAGUAUGGCAGAGGGGGGUAGAAUUCCACGUGUAGCAGUGAAAUGCGUAGAGAUGUGGAGGAAUACCGAUGGCGAAGGCAGCCCCCUGGGCCAAUACUGACGCUCAUGCACG
RNAcentral lists this ribosomal RNA (404 nucleotides) under uncultured bacterium. RNAcentral's name for it is "partial 16S ribosomal RNA". It matches the Rfam family "Bacterial small subunit ribosomal RNA", at positions 357 to 755 of the family's 1533-position model. The record is from RNAcentral.